GAGAAUUUCAAAAAAGAUCUUGAAAGACAGGAUAUCAGACAAAACAUUGUUGAAAACACGGGGCUUUAUUUUCAUGCUUAGAAGAUUUUACCUGUAACAUUAACACAAACACAUUUCCCAAUAGUAACUACAGCUGACAUUAGGUAACACUAAGCCUUAUUCUAAGGAUCUGCGCGUUUUAACUCAUUUAUUCCUCACAAUAGUCCUAAUAUUGCUCUGUUCCCAUUUAAACAGACACAGGGCAAUAAGUCUCCUUCUAAUGUUGCACAGGCAGCACCUGGUGCAGCCGGGAGACCAGAGUCCUCCUUCACUUUUUGCCAUUGAGAUCCUAAGGGAUUGGGGCUGCAGAAUUUGUAGAGAUGUGAUCCAGCGGGUAGCAUAUACUCACUCUCAAAACAGGCGGAGCUUCCAAGACUCUCCCUUCACAACUGCUCCCAGGUGACCUGGGAAUGUCCAGAUGGAUUUUUCCCACCUGGUCCUUCCCUUCCCUGACUUCUCUAGCCUCAUUCUCACCAGCUUCAUGACACGAAUUCACUCAAAUGUAUACUAGCCACUUCCUACCCAAAGCCUACCCUGAUAUUUCGGACCAAAAGAAAUUUCUCCCACUCAAGUGAAAAUUCCCUCUCCCUCUUCUGACUUCCCAGAGCCCCUCGUGCAUCUCUCCGGUCCCAUCAGAACUUUCGUUUACUGUAUUUGCAUCUCAAACCUCAUGGAGAUACAAAAGGACACAGAUCUCUUCCCACAAGAAAGGUAGUUGUAGAGAAUAAAACAAUAAUUUGGGCCUGCAUUGCAGUGUAGUAGGUUAAGCCACCACCUGCAGUGCUGUCAUCCCAUAUGGGCUCUGGUUAGAGUCGCAGCUGCUCCACUCCUGAUCCAGUUCUCAGCUCCCUGCCUGUGCACCUGGGAAAGCAGCAGAGGAUGGCCCAAGUACUUGGGACCCUACAGGCACAUGGGGAACCCAGAAGAAGCUCCUGGCUCCUGGCUUCACCUGGCCCUACCCCAGCCCCUGUGGUCAUUUGGGGAAUGAACCAGAGGGUGGAAAACCUCUCUCUCUUUCUCUCCCUCGCUCUCCCUCUCUCUCUCUCUCUCUCUCUGUGUGUGUGUGUAUGUGUCCCUCCCUCCUUCUCUUGUGUGUGUAACUUUUGUUGCACUAUCCAUUUUCAGAAAAUUCUAGUAACGCUCCACCCCUUAAACGGUAACUUCAAAUCCCUUUCCUUCCUUCCCAGGCGGAGGACUCCUACUUGAUGCAUUUUAUUGGCUAGUAGCACCUCAUUAAGGAAAAGUUUACCAUAUUUAUCCAUAGUGCUGCUUUUCUCUCCUCCCCCCACCAAGGUACACGGCAACCAGCAAGGAGGAAGCAUCAUCUUAAUUCGGCAAGUGGAGACUGCUGCAGCACACCACCAUUAGUGAGCUUUGUCCCAGGGAUAAAUCCGCAGUCCCCACCCACUUUGAAUAUGGCCUAGAGAGUUGCUCAAUUAGUUCCAUGAAGGGGGGUGGGGCAUGUUGCUCCUCUCCCC
Molecule: long non-coding RNA, 1517 nt
Filed under: Oryctolagus cuniculus (rabbit)
Lineage: Eukaryota; Metazoa; Chordata; Mammalia; Lagomorpha; Leporidae
Description: lncRNA (ENSOCUG00000030992.1)
Source: RNAcentral